RNAcentral lists this long non-coding RNA (233 nucleotides) under Brassica napus (rape). RNAcentral's name for it is "long non-coding RNA (BNAP_LNC006127)". The record is from RNAcentral. Lineage: Eukaryota; Viridiplantae; Streptophyta; Magnoliopsida; Brassicales; Brassicaceae.
GAUGGCUGACUAAAAGUAGAGCUUGAUGACUGGAGUAACAUGCGCAUCUGCGUUGACGCGAAGUUGAUUGAUCCAGGCUGCAAUAGAGUGUAGAUCAGUCGGAGGAGAAAUCCAAACUUCAGCAGCAAAAAGCUCCCAUAUCAAGCGAGAGAAAGAGCACUCAAAGAAGAGAUGAUGGUGAGUCUCUAUUUCCAGAUUACAAAGGAUGCACGUUCCUGAGACAUUUAACCCCC